RNAcentral lists this ribosomal RNA (253 nucleotides) under uncultured bacterium. RNAcentral's name for it is "partial 16S ribosomal RNA". It matches the Rfam family "Bacterial small subunit ribosomal RNA", at positions 524 to 776 of the family's 1533-position model. The record is from RNAcentral.
GACGAACCGUGCGAACGUUGUUCGGAAUCACUGGGCUUAAAGGGCGCGUAGGCGGCUUGCCAAGUCGGGGGUGAAAUACUUCAGCUUAACUGGAGAAGUGCCUUCGAAACUGGCGGGCUUGAGGGAGGUAGGGGUCUGUGGAACUUCUGGUGGAGCGGUGAAAUGCGUUGAUAUCAGAAGGAACGCCGGUGGCGAAAGCGACGGACUGGACCUCUUCUGACGCUGAGGCGCGAAAGCUAGGGGAGCAAACGGG